AUGGAAGAAGAGAUUGCCACGCUGGUCAUUGACAAUGGUCCGGCAUGUGCAAAGCUGGCUUUGCUGGGGACGAUGCACCCCGAGCCGUGUUUCCCUCCAUCGACACCAGGGCGUGGUGGUGGGCAUGGGCCAGAAGGACUCCUACGUGGGUGAUGAGGCCCAGAGCAAGCACGGCAUCUUGACCCUGAAGUACCCUAUCGAGCAUGGCAUUGUCACCAACUGGGAUGACAUGGAGAAAAUCUGGCACCACACUUUCUACAAUGAGCUGCGCGUGGCCCCAGAGGAGCACCCAGUGCUGCUGACCGAGGCCCCCCUGAAUCCUAAGGCCAACAGAGAGAAGAUGACUCAGAUUAUGUUUGAGACCUUCAACACCCCGGCCAUGUACGUGGCCAUCCAGGCCAUGCUGUCCCUCUACGCCUCUGGGCUCAACACUGGCAUUGUCAUGGACUCUGGAGACGGGGUCACCCACACGGUGCCCAUCUAUGAGGGCUACGCCCUCCCCCACGCCAUCCUGCGUCUGGACCUGGCUGGCUGGGACCUGACCGACUACCUAAUGAAGAUCCUCACAGAGCGUGGCUACAGCUUCACCACCACGGCUGAGCGGGAAAUUGUGCGCGACAUCAAGGAGAAGCUGUGCUACGUUGCCCUGGACUUCGAGCAGGAGAUGGCCACCGCCGCAUCGUCCUCUUCCCUGGAGAAGAGUUACGAGCUGCCUGAUGGCCAGGUCAUCACCAUCGGCAGUGAGCGGUUCCGGUGGCCGGAGGCGCUGUUCCAGCCUUCUUUCCUGGGCAUGGAAUAUUGCGGCAUCCACGAGACCACCUUCAACUCCAUCAUGAAGUGUGACGUGGACAUCCGCAAAGACCUGUAUGCCAACACGGUGCUGUCUGGCAGCACCACCAUGCACCCAGGCAUUGCCGACAGGAUGCAGAAAGAGAUCACCGCCCUGGCACCCAGCACCAUGAAGAUCAAG
RNA transcript from Piliocolobus tephrosceles (Ugandan red Colobus), 970 nucleotides. It is a transcript of the gene named actin, cytoplasmic 2-like, with no coding region annotated. NCBI's taxonomy places the organism in Eukaryota, Metazoa, Chordata, Mammalia, Primates, Cercopithecidae. The transcript has a single exon. The record is from RefSeq and is a predicted model, not a curated record.